Long non-coding RNA from Spea bombifrons (plains spadefoot toad), 685 nucleotides. RefSeq lists it as uncharacterized. The transcript is spliced from 5 exons. The record is from RefSeq and is a predicted model, not a curated record. NCBI's taxonomy places the organism in Eukaryota, Metazoa, Chordata, Amphibia, Anura, Pelobatidae.
CACGGAGCUCCUGCAGUUUCUUAUGCCUGUGUUUUGUGCCGUCUGCGAUUUCCAUCAAUGAAAGGAUAUACAGACCAUCUCUCUCAAAAGGCAAAAUUGGCUGAUGGCCAUGAAAAAAACCUUCCGGCCCAAACCAUUCAAUGUUUUGCAUGUCCCAAAUGUUUUCUGCUUUUUAACCUAAGAGAUGAAUGUCUGCAACACAUGACUUUGCAGAAUCAUUUGGGGAGCGCUUUCAAAUUUGUAGACCAGAGUAAAGGACCACAUUGAUCACCAGAAGGACAGAGUCUCUUCAACUCUUGACCGACUUGCACGCCACGUAGAGAUAGAGAAACAACAGCGGGAGGAGAGAAACAAAGCAUUCCAGGAAAAAAUACACCACCAACAUGCUCAUGGUUUACAAGAACUAGAAUUUAUCAAGGAUCAUCCAGGGACAGAUGCUGCAAGACUCUGUGUCAACCAGUGGCUGAAAGUACCAGGUCCCAGGCCAGGCACAGUAAGCGCAAGCCGAAGACCUGUGUUGGCAUGUAGUGAGCGAGCGCCGACAAACACCACGUCUAUUACCUGCCCGGUAAUGCAUUGCAAUAAAAAAUUUGACAAUGGUCAGCUACUCCUAGGCCAUCUGAAAAGGUAAAUGUGGUUUUCAGCCUCUGCAGUUCUGUUACACGCUCCUUUACAAUAUCAACGU